UCCAAAGCCCACAUAAGAAACCCAGAUGUCC
Molecule: non-coding RNA, 31 nt
Filed under: Mus musculus (house mouse)
Lineage: Eukaryota; Metazoa; Chordata; Mammalia; Rodentia; Muridae
Source: RNAcentral